CCACUGCUAUCGGGGUCCGACUAAGCCAUGCGAGUCACGGGGGUGUCCCUUUGGCACCACCGGCGGACGGCUCGUAACACGUCGGUAACCUACCCUCGGGAGGGGGAUAACCCCGGGAAACUGGGGCUAAUUCCCCAUAGGUCCUGAGGUACUGGAAGUCCCCAGGCCGAAAGGGACUUAUGUCGCCCGAGGAUGGGCCGCGGCCGAUUAGGUUGUUGUGGGGUAACGGCCCACAAGCCAGUAAUCGAUACGGGUUGUGGGAGCAAGAGCCCGGAGUGGAUUCUGAGCACGAAUCCAGGCCCUACGGGGCGCAGCAGGCGCGAUG
Molecule: ribosomal RNA, 325 nt
Filed under: uncultured archaeon
Lineage: Archaea
Description: bacterial SSU rRNA
Rfam family: Archaeal small subunit ribosomal RNA
Source: RNAcentral